CAUGAACACUGAAGUUUGGAUUUCAUAUAACUUUUACCAAUCAGAUCUUCCUUUUUUCCCUUUCUAAAUCACUAAAAUAUUUAAAAACUACUCUUAUCUGUGGGCCAUCCAAAAAUAGGUGGUAGUUGGGUUUGGUCAGUGGGCUCUCAUCUCCUGACCCUGAUCUAGAAAACCAAGACUUUAAAUUGCGUCGUGUUUAUCCUUAAACCUCCUUGUUUGUUUUUUUUUAAAGUUUAUCUUUAAACCUCCCGGAGACAUUGAAGGGGCCAAAUGCAUAUAGUUCAAGAAGAUAAAAAUAAAUUAAAAAGAUGAAGGAAAAAAUAAGGCCAAGAAAGACAAACAAGGAAAAGGAGACAGAGCCAGGGAGAGGCACGUGGAGAGACUGUCUCAAAGGAAACGUGUUCUUGGGUCCACUGGGGUCCGGAGGUCUGUCUGUCUCUUGGCCUCAGGAGGAGGCCUGGCAGCACCGCACCAGCUGGCCUUGGGCUCUGGCUUCUCCAGAGUGCUUCCCCGGAAGUGCUUACAUCACGC
This 531-nucleotide long non-coding RNA is filed under the name Fukomys damarensis (Damara mole-rat). Its description in RNAcentral is "lncRNA (ENSFDAG00000023537.1)". The record is from RNAcentral. Lineage: Eukaryota; Metazoa; Chordata; Mammalia; Rodentia; Bathyergidae.